UAGGGAAUCUUCGGCAAUGGACGAAAGUCUGACCGAGCAACGCCGCGUGAGUGAAGAAGGUUUUCGGAUCGUAAAACUCUGUUGUUAGAGAAGAACAAGUACGUUAGUAACUGAACGUCCCCUGACGGUAUCUAACCAGAAAGCCACGGCUAACUACGUGCCAGCAGCCGCGGUAAUACGUAGGUGGCAAGCGUUGUCCGGAUUUAUUGGGCGUAAAGCGAGCGCAGGCGGUUUCUUAAGUCUGAUGUGAAAGCCCCCGGCUCAACCGGGGAGGGUCAUUGGAAACUGGGGGACUUGAGUGCAGAAGAGGAGAGUGGAAUUCCAUGUGUAGCGGUGAAAUGCGUAGAUAUAUGGAGGAACACGAGUGGCGAAGGCGGCUCUCUGGUCUGUAACUGACGCUGAGGCUCGAAAGCGUGGGGAGCAAACAGG
RNAcentral lists this ribosomal RNA (429 nucleotides) under Gemmatimonadota bacterium. RNAcentral's name for it is "Gemmatimonadetes bacterium partial 16S ribosomal RNA". It matches the Rfam family "Bacterial small subunit ribosomal RNA", at positions 355 to 776 of the family's 1533-position model. Lineage: Bacteria; Pseudomonadati; Gemmatimonadota. The record is from RNAcentral.